Aedes aegypti (yellow fever mosquito) is the source of this 500-nucleotide long non-coding RNA. RefSeq lists it as uncharacterized. The transcript is spliced from 2 exons. The record is from RefSeq and is a predicted model, not a curated record. NCBI's taxonomy places the organism in Eukaryota, Metazoa, Arthropoda, Insecta, Diptera, Culicidae.
UGAAACAUCUCGUAAAAAGGCCCAUUGUUAUUUGAAAGCUUAUUGUAAUCAAAAUAGUUCGUGUUAUGGAGACCACCGAAAACAAAAAACAAAUAGAUUGCGGUUCACCGAGGCAAAGCUACCAAGUCACUGUUCCCACCUGAUAAAACCGGUAAUACUGACAUGGAUUGCAGUGAUGACGAGGACGAGAGCAUUCUUCAGCUUCCUGAAAGAAUGCUGCAGAGUGAAGUAGAACUCAUCAACGGUACAGGUGAGGACAUUUCGUCUGUAAAGAAGUCCUUAAAAGCUAAGAAAACGAAUGGGAAAAGAAAGAACAAAGUUGCAAGGUGGAUCGAGGACGAAGAAGAGUUCGUUACUCACCAUGGAAUAGAACACGAUAGGCCUAUGUUGACAUCAGUUGAUUGCUUCGAAAAAAAUGUUCUCUUAUUCGAUUAUGGAGAUGAUAGUAGAUAUGUCCAAUAUGUAUGCUUUACAGAAGCACAAUAAAAUUUUAGAUCUAA